Long non-coding RNA from Solanum lycopersicum (tomato), 1473 nucleotides. RefSeq lists it as uncharacterized. The record is from RefSeq and is a predicted model, not a curated record. NCBI's taxonomy places the organism in Eukaryota, Viridiplantae, Streptophyta, Magnoliopsida, Solanales, Solanaceae.
UCAUAUGAUUUUGAAGUGGUGUUACUAUUAAAACUUUUAUAGGAUGUGUAAACCUAAAGUUUUCUAUCAAUGAAUUUAGAUGUCUUCCUAACCAACACUAAAUUAAGUCUAAGGUUGAACGUAAAUCAAACCAAAACCACAUUCUAAAAAACAUAAAAUUUUCCUAUAAGUACAAGGCUACAAUCUUACCUAUUUUUGCACAUAAAGCAACAAAUAUGAGUUGAAUGUUGUCGAGUUGUGCUACUCCAAAAUUUUGAUUUGUUUAGUGUGGAGCCUCUUCAAACUGUCGGAUUGGGACCAUCUUCAAAGUGAAUUUUUUUUGGGAUCCAUGAAAAGGAAAGGGAGAGAAGGUGAAGGUGAAGGUGAAAAGGUGACUUUUAAUAAAUUGGAAUAAAAAGUUCAACUUUAUAAAGUGGAAGAAAAAGUUCCAUUAUAUAUUAAAAUAAACGUUAUGAUACUAACGGAAAACGUUUAGAAAAUUGAAUAUAAUGAAUUUUUUUUUCACUAAGCUUAUUUUAGUUACUUACUAAAAUAGUGACUUAUUUUGAUUACUUUUCUAUUUUUGUGGCUUAUUUUGGUUCCCAACUCUUUUCUCAACCCUUUCAGUGAUCCAGCAGUAGGCCCAAUUUCCCUUAAUUCCUUUACCCAAAUCAGUGGCCCAUCCUCUUUUUUGUUUUCUCCCCUUUAACCCAGCCCAAGCAACUCUUAACCCGACCCAAUUUCCUAAAAGAAACCUGAAUUCAGAGCACAACAACAAAUCGAUCGACCCGCCCCGUUCUUCUUCUUCCUCACAGGAAAUCCAGUCCACGCGCGAUGAGAAUUCGAAAAUGCCGCUUCAGCAGAGAAUGGCAAGCUGGAUGCGACCAAAAUGUGUGGCUGAGCUCGUCUUCCUCGCUAGUAUGCUCGCACAGUCUGGGCCAGCCGAAUUUUUGGCAAAAGCAACUGCCAGAUUCGUACUUCACAUUCAGGUGGAUUUGGCAUCAAGAUCGAAUGAAUUACCAGAUUCUAUCAAGGUCGAUACAAAUUUCUGGUUCAGUCACCCGAAGUCGAAGGACGAUUUUGAGAUCGCGUUUGGUGGUGAAAGAUUAUCCUCCUUGCUCGCCUGGUCCUAAAACGCUACCUCGGAGAAGUCUAUUUUGGACAAUUUCUUGCACUACCAAGGGGCCAUAAAAGGUCCUAUACUCCCUUCUUCUUUUGAGUCUGCCUACCAAGCAAGAAAACAAGUUCCGAAAGGUGUGCAGGUCCCGAAGUGAGGAAGAGAAUGGGCCAUAAAUGCCCGAGUUUAUUUUCUUAAAUGUUGUAUAUAGUUGCUUUAGGGGCCUAAGCCCCCUUUCUGUGUUUUAUCCUAUAUUUAUUUUGUAUUAAUUAUUUGAUUAGUCUACGACAUGUACAAAUCAAGUGGGCCAGAAGCCCAAAACAAAUGGGUAAAAAUAUCAAUUCAGGCGGAUAGAUAAUCCGGAUUUGGACCCAACA